This 5152-nucleotide long non-coding RNA is filed under the name Spirodela polyrhiza (greater duckweed). RNAcentral's name for it is "long non-coding RNA (SPOL_LNC000614)". The record is from RNAcentral. Lineage: Eukaryota; Viridiplantae; Streptophyta; Magnoliopsida; Alismatales; Araceae.
CGAUUUGCGGAUCUGAUUGAAAAACACAAUGAUGAAAUCGCAGCACUUGAGACUUGGGACAAUGGGAAGCCGUACGAACAAGCUGCUUCAGCAGAAGUACCCAUGCUUGUUCGCCUAAUUCGAUACUAUGCUGGCAAGCCAUCCCUAUCACCAUAAAAGGAAAUGUUUAGUGUGCGUUGUCCAUAGAGCAAAUGAAAUCUAAUGAAAAAAAAUCUUAUUUUAUGCCGUUUCAGGUUGGGCAGAUAAAAUCCAUGGCCUUACGGCUCAAGCUGACGGAGCGCAUCAUGUUCAAGUGCUACAUGAACCUUACGGUGUUGCUGGGCAGAUUAUCCCCUGGAAUUUUCCACUACUGAUGUUUGCUUGGAAAGUUGGCCCUGCAUUAGCAUGUGGAAAUACUAUUGUACUAAAGACCGCAGAGCAGACUCCUCUCUCUGCUCUUUAUGUAGCAAGGCUGGCUCUUGAGGUGGGCAUUUCCAUUCUUCUCUAUGUUUCAGAUCGAAACCAUGGGUAUGAACUGUGCGUGACACAAAGGACAUUAUUGAGUGUUCUAUUAUUUCUGUGUCGCAUGUUACCAAUAAAGAGGGUUAACAUUGUUUACUUAAAUAGGUUGUUAUUUAAAUGCAAAACACUUUUUACCCCUUCUGAUUAGUAUCUUGGCCCACCUCACUUUAGAAACAUCUUUGUAGCACUGAAAGAAAAGGUAAAUUUUCCUCAGGAGCACUGUUUGUCAGAGAGUCGGUAAGUACAACACAGUAAAAUAUCUAAAGAAACAGAAAUGAAAGAAAUUGGAUAAAUAUAAUGAAGUGAAAUUGAGCUUUUUUUCAGGUUAUUUCAUAGAAACUGCCUGCCCAUCGGUGUGCAGCCUCUUCUAAAGGCCAAUGUGAAAUUUUCCCUGCGGAACUGUUAUGUACAUCGUUGCACAAUUUUUUUUGGUCAUUUCAAAAAUAAGAGUGCAGAUGAGAAGGUUUCAUCAUCACUGAAAUCUAAUAAAAAUAUUGAAUCGUAUAAAAUGGAUCUUUCUAUUUGAUUAUUAGCUUUUGACAUCUGUCUUGGUGUACAUGACAAUGAUGUAUUUUGUCCUCUAUAUGUCUAUCAGAAGAUGUUAUUCAAUAUUGCAUAAAUAGGAAAGUCUACCCUAUGCGGCAUGAAUUGUAUCUGAUAUGCAUUCGUGUUUGCAGGCUGGGCUUCCACCUGGUGUCUUAAAUGUAGUGUCUGGAUUUGGCCCAACUGCUGGCGCAUCCCUUGCUACUCACAUGGAGGUUGAUAAGGUAUCUUAUGAGAGACAACCAGCUGCAACCUUUAAAUGAUUUCAUUCACUAUCUGCAACCGCAAACCGUGCGACAUAAACGGCAGUUAAUCAUAUUUCUGUGUUUUCUCAUCUCAUACACACCAAUGUUCCCCUCAAUCAUGUUAGAAAUUUUUUCUUACAUCGAAGUUCAACACGCAGAGAAAUAAUUCUCAAGACUAUUUCCUUGCUUAAUGUCCACUUAAACUCUCUAUAAUUUCCAUGACCAAAGUUAGGAUAGACAAGCUAUUAAGGUGUCUGCCUUGAAGAUGUUCUUGGUUUCUCCCUUGCAAAUUCCCCAGCGAGUAGCAGGAAAUUCACACAGCAAUUGCACUUGUCAUUCACAGCACAAGGUGGUUAUUGUCAUAUGAAGUCAUAGAUACCAUAUAACUGAUGCUGCCGGAAAUUUUGAUUUAAGAUUUUAUCCAUCAGUUUUCCAAUUGACUCAAUGAUAGUUUAACCAUAUAAACUACAUUUUCUACGAAAUGGCGCCGGGAAGACUAUGCAUCUGUAUAUCUGGACAACAAUUCCAAAUAUAUCACAUCUUAGAAAGAUGUAGAUUUUGAUAGGAUUUUUGUCCAACCAUACGACCUGCUGGGUCUCUCAUUCCCAUUGAUUGAAAGAUCAACGACUUUAAAUUGUAUAAAGGACGAACUUCUGACUACCGUCUCAAGUGCCUUUUUGUCAUCAAGCCUGUUUGUUAUUUAUAAAUUCCCGAACGUCCGUGGGGCUUGGAGAAUACCAUGGCAUUCCUUCCGAAGAGAAUAUUCCCUUGAAGACCCUCGCUUAAUUCUCAUAUUUGAAAUACACAGAGCUGUGUAUCUAUGAUGUUUCCUGCUUAAUGUUGACAAGAUCCUGGCGAAAAUCAUUUGAGAUCUCAAUAUGCUCAGCCUGUCCACUGUCUCCUUACUAUUAGUUGAACAAUCAUCGCCCUUAAAGCCAAGAUAUCAAAAUUUUCUUUUCCACACGGACUAAGUGGACCAAAACUCGAGUUUCAUGGACCACCACAUUGACAUUUUCUGCACGUUCCACACAAUUUCCCCUGUCUCCUUCCUUCUAAGCCAUUUAGCUAAAGCUUUAUAUGCAACAGCCUUUUAUUUCUUCUUCCUUAUUGCCGUGAUGUCAGCUUGCUUUUACUGGGUCAACGGACACUGGUAAGAUUGUUCUUGAGUUGGCUGCACGAAGCAAUCUGAAGCCAGUGACUCUAGAGCUUGGAGGCAAAUCCCCUUUCAUUGUCUGUGAGGAUGCAGACGUUGACAAGGCUGUUGAGAUGGCACAUUUUGCUUUGUUCUUCAACCAGGUGAGAGUGCUUGGCAAUAAAAAUCUCCUUCAGAAUAUAGAGGAGUCAAAUAUUCAUAAAAUAGUUUGCCGCAAUCUAAGGUGGAUUUUUCGAUAGGGUCAAUGCUGCUGUGCUGGAUCUCGGACUUUUGUGCAUGAAAAAGUAUAUGAUGAAUUUCUAGAGAAAUCUAAAGCUCGUGCGUUAAGGCGUGUUGUUGGUGACCCCUUCAAAAAGGGUGUUGAACAAGGUCCACAGGUAUGCCAUUGUAAUUUUCUUUCUUCUGGUUUUAAGAUGAAUAUCCCUGUCUAACAUAACCUUUGUCUUCCAUAAUAGUUGUCUUCUCUAAAUUGCUCAAAGUUUAUGAGCACCUUGUCGCUCCACAUUCAUCUAUUGAUAUGUAUCUUCAAACUAUCCGCAGUUAUGCCUAAUUGAUAAAAAUGAAACAAGGAAGCUCCCACUAGAAUAUCCACCUCCCUUAGGGGAUACUGAGAAGCGCACCACAGAUGCCCAUUAAUUAGUUAGAAGGCCAGUCCAUUAAUAUAAUUAAGAACAAGAGGGAUUUCUACUCCAAGUGAGUUACGGUGGUGGUGCGAUUUUCAUAUGAUAGCUAAUGAGAAAUUAAUGGUGGAAUCUGCUACUACCUAUAGUUCUUAAGUGCUAGGACAUUUUCUCCGAAUGAUGUGUGAGGAAUAUGUGUAAGCUUAUUUCCAAGGAAUUUUUAAGACAAGUAAAAGGUUCCAUCAAAACCACCUUUCAUUGUGUGCAAGAACUAAAAUUAGAAAAGGUUCAGGGUUUCUAGAAUAAGUUCCUCAUUUUCUCCCUCUGUUGGAUGUCUCUUCAUGUUCAUCAAAUGCAAACCAAGGAACUAAACACCUAGAAGAUCUGGAUCAUCAUUUUUCUGGCUUCUCUUGACCCUGCCUCAUGUUUAAGCAUCUCUUGGGACUAUGCUUUCUCAAAAUUCAGAUCGACGAGGAGCAGUUCAACAAGAUCAUGCACUACAUAAGAUCUGGACUCGAGAGUGGAGCCACCCUCGAAGCAGGAGGUGAGAGAUUUGGCACCAAGGGUUACUACAUCCAACCCACUGUGUUCUCAGACGUGAAGGCAUGAAACUCCUCACUCUUCUCUACACCAGUUUUCCAUCACCUUCCUCCAUCUUAAAGCAGUUACCUCAUGAAACUUCUUAUCGACAAGCAGGACGACAUGCUGAUUGCGAAGGACGAGAUCUUCGGACCAGUGCAGUCAAUCCUGAAGUUCAAGUGAGCUUUAAACCAUAUGGGUCUCGUGGUCUUAUCUCCUUUUUUAUGUCCUCACUCUCUCAGUGCCAUGCCAUCUCCAUCCAGAGACCUUGAUGAGGUGGUUCGCCGGGCAAAUGCCACCCGCUAUGGGCUUGCUGCUGGGAUCUUCACCAACAACCUCGACACCGCCAACACCUUGACCCGGGCUCUGCGGCAGGGGACCAUCUGGAUCAACUGCUUCGACGUCUUUGAUGCCGCCAUCCCCUUCGGUGGGUUCAAGAUGAGCGGGCAGGGAAGGGAGAAGGGGAUCCACAGCCUCAGGAAUUACCUCCAGGUGAAGGCAGUCGUCACACCACUGAAGAGCCCUGCAUGGCUGUAAGUCUAAGUCGUUCUAUAAUCUGGAAUUCUGGCUGGAUGUUUUAUUAUGGAUAUAUAUACAUAUAUAUAUGAUAAUAAUUGCCGUAUGAAGGUUUAGUACAUGAUCCGGUCUGCUUGAGCCAUAUAAUUAUGAGCACAUAGUCUAAUGGUUCCCCAUAUAGAUAUUUGUUGUUCUAUAAUCUAGAAUUCGGAGGAUAACCCAUAAUAAUUACUGCCUUCUUGCUCUGACUGAAUCACAGGAUCAUGAAUAGAGUCCCAUUGUUGUCAUUGCAAAUCUAAGUGCUUUAUCAUAGCGAAUUCUAACCAUACGUUUUAUAAAUGAUGCAUGAUAAGAAUCACAGUCUGGAGAUCUACUGUGCCCCAGCCCUGGCUGAAUCAGACGAUUAUGAAUAGAUAGCAUCGUGGCUUUCAUGAUAAAUCGGAGUAGUUCUGAAAACAGUUUAUCUACUGUGUUCCAGCUCUGGGUGAAUCAUAGGAUAAUGAACAGACAGUCGCAUGGUUCUCAGAGGACAACCCAUGUUGAUAGUCUCAUGGUUCAUGGAUUCGGAUCAAUAAGUUGGAACCCACCCGAUGGGAAUCGGAUGAGUCUGUGAAUUGUGAUGGGUUCGGACUGAUUUUUAGUCCACAUGGUGGCCUGAUCUGAUGUGAUUUGACCGAGAUGGCUCGCACGGUUGAUCUCAAGAAUUGGCCGAUUCCUGACAUCAAAUCUGCAGAGACGGAAGAGAGGGGAGGGGGAGGGGGAGGUGGUUUAAAUGCACAGGUGCGAAGCAGAGGAGGAUGGAACUCACAUGGCGACGCGGCGGCCACUCCUCUCCUUUGCGAUCUUGCAGUGGAACGAGAGGCGGAGCGAAGGCAGCGGCAGUAAGAGACAGUUGGUUACUACAAAGAUGAGCCGUCGGCGAUUAGGAAAAAGCCCCGCCGUCAACGGAGGCGAGGGCGGCACUCGAUUAAUUGAGCUCCCGGGUAGCCCUAGCA